This 451-nucleotide ribosomal RNA is filed under the name uncultured bacterium. RNAcentral describes it as "partial 16S ribosomal RNA". It matches the Rfam family "Bacterial small subunit ribosomal RNA", at positions 354 to 796 of the family's 1533-position model. The record is from RNAcentral.
GUGGGGAAUAUUGGACAAUGGGGGGAACCCUGAUCCAGCCAUGCCGCGUGUGUGAAGAAGGCCUUUUGGUUGUAAAGCACUUUAAGCGAGGAGGAGGCUACCGAGAUUAAUACUCUUGGAUAGUGGACGUUACUCGCAGAAUAAGCACCGGCUAACUCUGUGCCAGCAGCCGCGGUAAUACAGAGGGUGCAAGCGUUAAUCGGAUUUACUGGGCGUAAAGCGCGCGUAGGUGGCCAAUUAAGUCAAAUGUGAAAUCCCCGAGCUUAACUUGGGAAUUGCAUUCGAUACUGGUUGACUAGAGUAUGGGAGAGGAUGGUAGAAUUCCAGGUGUAGCGGUGAAAUGCGUAGAGAUCUGGAGGAAUACCGAUGGCGAAGGCAGCCAUCUGGCCUAAUACUGACACUGAGGUGCGAAAGCAUGGGGAGCAAACAGGAUUAGAUACCCCAGUAGUCC